Molecule: transfer RNA, 66 nt
Filed under: Paroster hamoni
Lineage: Eukaryota; Metazoa; Arthropoda; Insecta; Coleoptera; Dytiscidae
Description: tRNA-Leu
Source: RNAcentral
UAUUAUUUUGGCAGAUUAGUGCAAUGAAUUUAGAAUUCAAAAAUAUAAUUUUUAUUAUAAAUAAUA